RNAcentral lists this ribosomal RNA (497 nucleotides) under uncultured bacterium. RNAcentral's name for it is "partial 16S ribosomal RNA". It matches the Rfam family "Bacterial small subunit ribosomal RNA", at positions 28 to 507 of the family's 1533-position model. The record is from RNAcentral.
GAUGAACGCUGGCGGCGUGCCUAAUACAUGCAAGUCGAGCGAACGGACGAGAAGCUUGCUUCUCUGAUGUUAGCGGCGGACGGGUGAGUAACACGUGGAUAACCUACCUAUAAGACUGGGAUAACUUCGGGAAACCGGAGCUAAUACCGGAUGAUCUUUUGAACCGCAUGGUUCAAAAGUGAAAGACGGUCUUGCUGUCACUUAUAGAUGGAUCCGCGCUGCAUUAGCUAGUUGGUAAGGUAACGGCUUACCAAGGCAACGAUGCAUAGCCGACCUGAGAGGGUGAUCGGCAACAGUGGAACUGAGAGACGGUACAGACUCCUACGGGAGGCAGCAGUAGGGAAUCUUGCGCAAUGGGCGAAAGCCUGACGGAGCAACGCCGCGUGAGUGAUGAAGGUCUUCGGAUCGGAAAACUCUGUUAUGAGGGAAGAACAUAUGUGUAAGUAACUGUGCACAUCUUGACGGUACCUAAUCAGAAAGCCACGGCUAACUACGUG